GACGAACGCUGGCGGCGCGCCUAACACAUGCAAGUCGAACGAGCGAGAGAGAGCUUGCUUUCUCGAGCGAGUGGCGAACGGGUGAGUAACGCGUGAGGAACCUGCCUCAAAGAGGGGGACAACAGUUGGAAACGACUGCUAAUACCGCAUAAGCCCACGGGUCGGCAUCGACCAGAGGGAAAAGGAGCAAUCCGCUUUGAGAUGGCCUCGCGUCCGAUUAGCUAGUUGGUGAGGUAAUGGCCCACCAAGGCGACGAUCGGUAGCCGGACUGAGAGGUUGAACGGCCACAUUGGGACUGAGACACGGCCCAGACUCCUACGGGAGGCAGCAGUGGGGAAUAUUGCACAAUGGGGGAAACCCUGAUGCAGCGACGCCGCGUGGAGGAAGAAGGUCUUCGGAUUGUAAACUCCUGUUGUUGAGGAAGAUAAUGACGGU
This 435-nucleotide ribosomal RNA is filed under the name uncultured bacterium. Its description in RNAcentral is "bacterial SSU rRNA". It matches the Rfam family "Bacterial small subunit ribosomal RNA", at positions 28 to 458 of the family's 1533-position model. The record is from RNAcentral.